GUAUAUGAAAGUAUGCACUGGCUAUUCGAGGCAUGUCUCCUGAUGUCUCCCAAAGAAUGCACUCCUCUGGCCUAUGCCUGAUUACUCCGCAGAAAUUCCCGUGGUUUCUGCCGUCUCAGCAACUUCUGUCACAGAGAUUCUGGAAAUACUCUACUGAAAACGUUCGUGGAUAUAUCACCUCCUGGUAAUAAGAAAAUAUGCAGAAAAGAACACAGCAGGCCAGAGAUUGCUAUCCUGAGGAAGGCCUCCUUACAAGGUUGGCCCAGCUGGCAUUCCAGAACUUGGAUUUGGGAGUGUUUCCACCAUUUCCUGGUAAGAAUGGCAAGAAUAAAAGUUUACAAGACUUAACCUCUGCAACCUGGCCACCCAGAGAAGGCAUUGGCGCCCUACAAAGUUCUGUGGAAAUCAGCUAUCAUCCAAUGCUUUAG
RNAcentral lists this long non-coding RNA (428 nucleotides) under Papio anubis (olive baboon). RNAcentral's name for it is "lncRNA (ENSPANG00000046972.1)". The record is from RNAcentral. Lineage: Eukaryota; Metazoa; Chordata; Mammalia; Primates; Cercopithecidae.